CGGAAUUACUGGGCGUAAAGCGCACGCAGGCGGUUKGAUAAGUUAGAUGUGAAAGCCCCGGGCUCAACCUGGGAAUUGCAUUUAAAACUGUCCAGCUAGAGUCUUGUAGAGGGGGGUAGAAUUCCAGGUGUAGCGGUGAAAUGCGUAGAGAUCUGGAGGAAUACCGGUGGCGAAGGCGGCCCCCUGGACAAAGACUGACGCUCAGGUGCGAAAGCGUGGGGAGCAAACAGGAUUAGAUACCCUGGUAGUCCACGCCGUAAACGAUGUCGAUUUGGAGGCUGUGUCCUUGAGACGUGGCUUCCGGAGCUAACGCGUUAAAUCGACCGCCUGGGGAGUACGGCCGCAAGGUUA
RNAcentral lists this ribosomal RNA (351 nucleotides) under uncultured bacterium. RNAcentral describes it as "bacterial SSU rRNA". It matches the Rfam family "Bacterial small subunit ribosomal RNA", at positions 546 to 896 of the family's 1533-position model. The record is from RNAcentral.